AGAGAGAGACAUGCGCGCAUAUCAAUAAGCGGAGGAAAAGAAACUAACAAGGAUUCCCUUAGUAACGGCGAGUGAAGCGGGAAGAGCUCAAAUUUGAAAUCUUCAAGGUUUUACCUUGACGAAUUGUAGUUUAAAGAAGUGUUUUCUGCUGAAGUUUUGGUAAAAGUUCUUUGGAAUAGGACAUCAUAGAGGGUGAGAAUCCCGUAUUUGACCAUUAUUUUCAGCUUUGUGAUACACUUUCAAAGAGUCGGAUUGUUUGGGAAUGCAGUCCAAAAUGGGUGGUAAAUUUCAUCUAAAGCUAAAUAUUGGCGAGAGACCGAUAGCGAACAAGUACCGUGAGGGAAAGAUGAAAAGAACUUUGAAAAGAGAGUUAAACAGUACGUGAAAUUGUCAAAAGGGAAGCGUUUGACACCAGUGUUGUUUUCUCGAAAAUCAAUUAAAAAUGGCUCGAUUUUGUAUUGCUUGAGACCUUAAAAGCUCACUGUACAUUUUUCGUGUCUUUUUUAAUGCACUUUUCGUUUAACAAGUCAACAUCAGUUUCUUUUGUUGUAAAAGGGUCAUUGGAAGGUGGCUUUCUUUUCGGAGAAAGUGUUUAUAGCCUUUGGCCUCUGCAAUCGGAGAGACUGAGGUCUGCAGCGUAGACUCUUCGGGGUUAGAUACAUUUGUGCUAAGUUAUAGCUUUUUAUAGACAACUUGUUGACUAUAAUUAGUCUUAUAGCUUACUCGCUUAUGCUAUUUUACCUACGCUUAGGAUGUUGAGUCGUAGAGCACGCAG
Molecule: ribosomal RNA, 775 nt
Filed under: uncultured Neocallimastigales
Lineage: Eukaryota; Fungi; Neocallimastigomycota; Neocallimastigomycetes; Neocallimastigales
Description: partial large subunit ribosomal RNA
Rfam family: Eukaryotic large subunit ribosomal RNA
Source: RNAcentral